Molecule: microRNA precursor, 174 nt
Filed under: Malus domestica (apple)
Lineage: Eukaryota; Viridiplantae; Streptophyta; Magnoliopsida; Rosales; Rosaceae
Source: RNAcentral
GAAGAGAAUCCUCUCCUGAGCUCAGGAUGGGGAUCCUUCUGACCAGGCCAUCUGAGUCGUUCAAAUUUAAUCCAACAGUUGCAAUUAUUAUAACUUUUAGAGGGUUAAAUUUGAACUGCCCAGAUGGGCUGGUUAGGAGGAUCCCCAUCUUGAGCUCAGGAGAGGAUCCUCUUC